UUAUUUGCUACAUCAGCACAUGACGGUCUGUUUUUUGUUCGAGCGAAGAAAAAUUAAUUCUCGCAGUUGUAUGCAGCAUUUAAAACUUGGAAUUAUGUCUAUUUGCUCAGUAGAAAAGUACAGAUGUUCAAGAAUUAUGCUGGAUUAUGGAAACCGCUUAUUUACUUCUGCUGUUAUACGUUCCCCUACCUGUGGCUAUCCUGGAACUCCGAGGAACGAGACUCGGAACGGGAGUGAUCAACAUUUUUGGAAAUUAU
Long non-coding RNA from Armigeres subalbatus, 257 nucleotides. RefSeq lists it as uncharacterized. The transcript is spliced from 3 exons. The record is from RefSeq and is a predicted model, not a curated record. NCBI's taxonomy places the organism in Eukaryota, Metazoa, Arthropoda, Insecta, Diptera, Culicidae.